Molecule: long non-coding RNA, 139 nt
Organism: Etheostoma cragini (Arkansas darter)
Lineage: Eukaryota; Metazoa; Chordata; Actinopteri; Perciformes; Percidae
Exons: 3
Source: RefSeq, a predicted model, not a curated record
AAAGGUUACUGCUGACAUGUCAUGCAUAAAUGAUAAGAACCGUAAUAAGUGACAGCAAUAAACAUGUCGACUCAAUGGCUUGCUUCCUUAAUAACACCCUUAUUCAUUAAUCGGCCGUGGUCAUUAUUAAAAACGUGAU